UAUUGGUGAUGCGAAUAAUAGAUGACAACUGACUUGAAUCUCUUCCAUGUAUGAUAGAGAUUUCCAUUUGUCUUUUAUUUUAAACUUAGGAUUUCACUCCUCAAAUU
Molecule: small nucleolar RNA, 107 nt
Organism: Capsicum annuum
Lineage: Eukaryota; Viridiplantae; Streptophyta; Magnoliopsida; Solanales; Solanaceae
Source: RefSeq, a predicted model, not a curated record